This 253-nucleotide ribosomal RNA is filed under the name uncultured bacterium. RNAcentral's name for it is "partial 16S ribosomal RNA". It matches the Rfam family "Bacterial small subunit ribosomal RNA", at positions 524 to 776 of the family's 1533-position model. The record is from RNAcentral.
UACAGAGACUGCGAGCGUUAUUCGGAUUCACUGGGCGUAAAGGGUGCGCAGGCGGCCGUGUGUGUAAGGUGUGAAAUCCCGGGGCUUAACCCCGGAACUGCGCCUUAAACUACAUGGCUAGAGUAUUGGAGAGGGUAGUGGAAUUCACGGUGUAGCAGUGAAAUGCGUAGAUAUCGUGAGGAACACCAGAGGCGAAGGCGACUACCUGGACAAUUACUGACGCUCAGGCACGAAAGCGUGGGGAGCAAAAGGG